AGGAAACCAUCCAAGACACAAUUAGAAGAAAGCAGUUCCGAGUAGUGGUUGGCUGGAAAUAGUGAAAAGGUUUCUACCCCUGAAAGGCCCACAAAACUAUUGAAAGAAGACUUUUGAAGAGAGGCUUGAGCAUGUGCUGAGAGUUUCCUGCACCAAGGCUUCCAUCGAAAAUACACAGGGAUGGACUCAAUGUUUGCUGCAGCUUCCUGGCUGGACAGAUACAGUAUCAGUCAUCGUGGAAGGAUGUUCCAGCCACAGUCACUCCCUGCUCCUGUUUAAUAACCUCUCAAGAUCAAUUUCCUCACAUCAGCAUUUUCAAAAACCAUGUCAAAAAUUCUCCUCGCAAACUCAUGUAUUUGCUUAAAAUUAAUAAAUAUAUGUGUAGAAAAUAAAAA
RNAcentral lists this long non-coding RNA (395 nucleotides) under Parus major (Great Tit). RNAcentral's name for it is "lncRNA (ENSPMJG00000018208.1)". Lineage: Eukaryota; Metazoa; Chordata; Aves; Passeriformes; Paridae. The record is from RNAcentral.